This 439-nucleotide ribosomal RNA is filed under the name uncultured bacterium. RNAcentral describes it as "partial 16S ribosomal RNA". It matches the Rfam family "Bacterial small subunit ribosomal RNA", at positions 339 to 795 of the family's 1533-position model. The record is from RNAcentral.
CUACGGGCCGCUCCAGUGAGGAAUAUUGCACAAUGGGGGGAACCCCUAUGCUGCAACGCCGCGUGGAGGAUGACGCAUUUCGGUGUGUAAACUCCUUUUAUAUGUCAAGAAAAUGACGGUAGCAUAUGAAUAAGCACCGGCUAACUCCGUGCCAGCAGCCGCGGUAAUACGGAGGGUGCAAGCGUUACUCGGAAUCACUGGGCGUAAAGGACGCGUAGGCGGGUUGGAAAGUCAGGUGUGAAAUCCUACAGCUUAACUGUAGAACUGCACUUGAAACUUCUAAUCUAGAGUAUGGGAGGGGGAGAUGGAAUUAGUGGUGUAGGGGUAAAAUCCGUAGAUAUCACUAGGAAUACCUAAAGCGAAGGCGAUCUCCUGGAACAUUACUGACGCUAAGGCGUGAAAGCGUGGGGAGCAAACAGGAUUAGAUACCCCCGUAGUC